UGGGGAAUCUUGCACAAUGGGGGCAACCCUGAUGCAGCGACGCCGCGUGAGCGAUGAAGCCCUUCGGGGUGUAAAGCUCUUUCGGCAGGAACGAUAAUGACGGUACCUGCAGAAAAAACUGCGGCUAACUACGUGCCAGCAGCCGCGGUAAUACGUAGGCAGAGAGCGUUGUUCGGAGUUACUGGGCGUAAAGAGUGCGUAGACGGUCCUCUAUGUUCGGUGUGAAAUCUCCCGGCUCAACUGGGAGGGUGCGGCGGAAACUGGAGGGCUUGAGUAUGGGAGAGGAAAGCGGAAUUCCUGGUGUAGCGGUGAAAUGCGUAGAUAUCAGGAGGAACACCUGUGGUGUAGACGGCUUUCUGGACCAUGACUGACGCUGAGGCACGAAAGCGUGGGGAGCAAACA
RNAcentral lists this ribosomal RNA (402 nucleotides) under uncultured prokaryote. Its description in RNAcentral is "bacterial SSU rRNA". It matches the Rfam family "Bacterial small subunit ribosomal RNA", at positions 355 to 774 of the family's 1533-position model. The record is from RNAcentral.